GCCACUCUAGCUCAGUUGGUAGAGCAACUGAUUCGUAAUCAGUAGGUCGCCGGUUCGAUUCCGGCGAGUGGCUCCA
RNAcentral lists this transfer RNA (76 nucleotides) under Bdellovibrionales bacterium. Its description in RNAcentral is "tRNA-Thr". It matches the Rfam family "tRNA". Rfam says of the family: Transfer RNA (tRNA) molecules are approximately 80 nucleotides in length. The record is from RNAcentral. Lineage: Bacteria; Pseudomonadati; Bdellovibrionota; Bdellovibrionia; Bdellovibrionales.